Molecule: ribosomal RNA, 253 nt
Filed under: uncultured bacterium
Lineage: Bacteria
Description: partial 16S ribosomal RNA
Rfam family: Bacterial small subunit ribosomal RNA
Source: RNAcentral
UUCAGAGGGUGCAAGCGUUAUUCGGAUUUAUUGGGCGUAAAGGGUGCGUAGGCGGCCUAGCAAGUUGAGUGUGUAAUCCCGUGGCUUAACCACGGAACUGCACUCAAUACUACUAGGCUUGAGGUAGAGAGAGGAUGGUGGAACUCCUAGUGUAGAGGUGAAAUUCGUAGAUAUUAGGGGGAACAUCGGUGGCGAAGGCGGCCAUCUGGCUCUAUUCUGACGCUGAGGCACGAAAGUGUGGGGAGCAAACAGG